CUUUCCCACUUCACUUUGAUGAUUGCAUAGCUCUCUCCUUUACUCUCAGUAGUAAGCUCUGUGGUCCUUUCUGCAACAGCAUCUCCAGAUGCCCCAGAAGCCUAUCCUAUGGGGUCUUCAGUGCACCUUUGGUCCCCUACAUGGGAGCCUCCCGGCCCACUAUGUCUCUGCACCCAGUCGGUCCCCAGAUCCUCUCAUCCCCCAAGUAUCACGGAGGAGGGAAGUGUGCUGUGGAAGUCUUUUACAGCGCCUGGCUCCGGGGAACCAGAAUCGCGGCUGUCACCACAGGACUCCUGGAGCAGACCUUUGGAAAGACACUCAGCAUUUUCAAUUUGCUUUUUCACCAAGGAGCCUGGAAAGAGGAGAAAAGGUGUGGCGUCACGGCACAGCACGGCUCCUUCUGUCUGCCUGACUUGCAGCUUUGUGUGCACUCUCGUACUGAAAGCCAGGCCUGUGGUGCUGGCGUCCAGCUGCGUCCUGUUUCCAGUGUCCUGUGCCACGCGUCUCUGUCUGCCCUCCCCCGAGGAGUUAAAGCAGACCACAAAAGCGGGAAGUUUGGUUCCACCCCCUUCACAGUUGCCCCUUAGCUUUCAUCAGGGAGACUGUGGGAAAGUGGAGCUCAGGGACAGGGUCCAGCGUCGGAGACCCCCGGUGUCCUCCCUGGGAUCGAGGUGGAGAUGGUCUCUUGCUUUGAAAGCAGUCACACAUGCUGUGCUCCUUUAGCUAAGAAUACUGGAGAUGGUGGCUCCCAGCACUGGACCUGUGUACUUUUUAUUUGCCUCUACCCCUGUCUUUAUUGCUACAGGCCCUUGCUUCUGUGGGCAGUUUUUUUCACCUGCUUUUUUGGUGUGCUGUCCCCUCUCUCUCCCUCCCUCCCUCCUUCGGUCCAUCCCCCACUCCUUCUCUCUCUCUGUACCCAGCCCCCCAGGUUUUGUAGUUUUGUUUCUCUGCUAAGCUUCAGACUUAGAAUAAAAAAGCAAUCGGUUUACUUGCAGGAGGGAUGGGAAUUAUUUUCUGUGUCUCUGAAACAUUUCCUUGCUCUUUUACUUGAAGAACCGAAGUAUCCAAAGUGUCAUAGCCAUGGAGGAUGGUCUCCUCAGGCUGUGGGAAGGAGGCAGGGGACAUGUCAGAAGGAAGCAUGGUCUGCUUCUUUUUCUACCACAGCAGACGUCUUUGAGUAUGUACUUCUGCCAGUGUGCUGGUUUAGGGGAAGUGAACACAACCCACAGGCCUGUCCUCCGUGGGUGCACUGCAGCCCAGGGCACCCUCCAGACCUG
RNAcentral lists this long non-coding RNA (1277 nucleotides) under Chinchilla lanigera (long-tailed chinchilla). Its description in RNAcentral is "lncRNA (ENSCLAG00000025843.1)". Lineage: Eukaryota; Metazoa; Chordata; Mammalia; Rodentia; Chinchillidae. The record is from RNAcentral.